This 427-nucleotide ribosomal RNA is filed under the name uncultured Actinomycetes bacterium. RNAcentral describes it as "bacterial SSU rRNA". It matches the Rfam family "Bacterial small subunit ribosomal RNA", at positions 958 to 1385 of the family's 1533-position model. The record is from RNAcentral. Lineage: Bacteria; Bacillati; Actinomycetota; Actinomycetes.
AACGCGAAGAACCUUACCUGGGUUUGACAUGCACAGGACGCCGGUAGAGAUAUCGGUUCCCUUGUGGCCUGUGUGCAGGUGGUGCAUGGCUGUCGUCAGCUCGUGUCGUGAGAUGUUGGGUUAAGUCCCGCAACGAGCGCAACCCUUAUCUUAUGUUGCCAGCGCGUAAUGGCGGGGACUCGUGAGAGACUGCCGGGGUCAACUCGGAGGAAGGUGGGGAUGACGUCAAGUCAUCAUGCCCCUUAUGUCCAGGGCUUCACACAUGCUACAAUGGCCGGUACAAAGGGCUGCGAUGCCGUGAGGUUAAGCGAAUCCUUUAAAGCCGGUCUCAGUUCGGAUCGGGGUCUGCAACUCGACCCCGUGAAGUCGGAGUCGCUAGUAAUCGCAGAUCAGCAACGCUGCGGUGAAUACGUUCCCGGGCCUUGUA